GAAAGGAAACGGGAAACAGGGGAAAGACAUAAGGGAAAAAGGGGGAAUUAGAGAAGAAGAGGAAGGAGAAGAGAGGGAAUGGAAGGCGCCAGGAAGGGUGCCACCGUCGCUGCCACUGCUGUCGUGUGGGUGAGAGAGAGAGCUCGCGAACGAGGUUGCUGCCCAGAGCUGUCGUCACCAUUGGAGCUGCACGAAGCCAUCUCCAUCGUCGUCGCCUAAGGCUGUCGCCGUCGUGCUUCGUCGCUGCCGUUGCUAGGGUUCGUCACCAUCGUCGUAGCCAUCGCCGUCGCACGCAGAGGGGGGAGAGAGAAGGGAAGAUCCACGACUGGUCAAGAGAGAAGGGAGUCGAAGGACGCGUUGGUGGGUGUUCUCCUCGCCGCCGCCAUGGGAGCUCGCCACCAUUGUGAAGAUGAAACGAGGCAAGCAUUCUUUCUCUUAGUUUCAGUUCUGUUUUGCUUUUGGUUUUUGUUCUGUUCUUGCUCCUAGUUUUCAUUCUGAUUAUUAGGGUUUGGGAUUCCGUCCCCUUUGAAGCUACUACUGUUGUCGAUUGCCGCUAGAGAAUGUUCCGCCAACUUUCUACUGCCGAGAGCCAGUGCUGGAGCUGCCGUAUGGUUGCUAAGAUUCAUAUUUAAAAGGUUGCCUCCUCCUUUGUGCUUAUGGUUACUGAAGGUAAAGCUUGAUGCUUGUGCUUUUGUUUGAUGCUGCUCACUGAUUUUAAAGAUUCUGCUCAUUGAAGAUAACGCAAGGACAUAAGAGUUGUUAGUAAAAUAAUUUCCUUUGAGAUGAACGAUCACAAAAGUCUUGGUUUCUAUCUCAGAAACUGCACCCAUCAUUUUAUACAUUAGAGAUGUUGAGAGGAUGGGUACCAAGAAAGGAAAAGAGAAGGCCACUGACAAGACACCGGCAAGGAAAGGCACUAAAAGAGCCCCGGAUAAAGCACAACCCACUACAAGCGUAAAGCCACCCACGAAGCGGGUGAAGAGGAGAGUUAGAGUCAAUGAGGCAAAAAAGGCAUUUCCUGCAAGGGACUCUACACAGUUCACUAACCGUUACUGUGAGUAGAUGUUCCCCAUCCUGGCUGAUAGAAACUAUAAUAAUGAGUAUCUACUCAUCGUUCCCAUCCACUUUGUUGAUUUUGUGGAGCCCCGCAUUGAAAGGAGACAGUGGGGAUUCCUAAGGAGGCAGCCACGGGAGGCCAAUCUAUCUUGGGUAGUCGAAUUCUACUCCAACUUCCACUCGCUUACCUUGCAGUCUGUUUAUAUUCAUCAAAAACAAGUCCCUAUCUCUGAGGGUUCCAUACAGAGAGUAUUGGAUCUUCCACCUAGCCCAGAGGGAUGAGAUUCCUAUCAAGAAGCCUCUUUCAAGCACUAGACAUACCAGUUUGACUGGAAUAGCAUCCUUGGAGUCAUAGCACAACAUGGUAGUACAUGGAUCUAUGGACAACAUCGAACUCGACCUAAGAGCAUCUUAGCUCAAGUACUUACCUUGGAGGCUCACGUGUGGGCACAGAUUAUGUCCUACUAUAUCUUUCCGAGCACUCACGAGUCCAUCUUCACUGCGGACAUGGCUAUUCUCAUCUGGUGCAUUCUUACAGAGCAACCCCUCAACUUACCAAGACACAUUCGGCAGGCCAUGGGAUACGUAUAGAUUGCGGACAACCUACCCUUCCCCGCACUGGUUGCAGAUUUGGUAUCUGCAACGAGUGUCUCCUAUCGAGCUAGGGAUACGAAAGCCAUGAUCCCAAGGGAUGAUCAGUAUGUCCCGAAUGGGAAGUAUAUCAGACCCCCAGUACCUUCUGCGAGCCGGUAUGCAGGCCCAUCUUUAGACACUCCUUCUUCCUCGACCCCACCAUCAUCCACACCUCAGGCACUAUCCACCACUCAGAUGUUCCUUCAAAUCCUUCAGAGGUUAGAUUGGCAAAACCGGCGGAUGGAGAAAAUAGAGCGCCGUAACAAGUGCCGAUACACUUAUCUGAAGGAGCUCAUUGUUGGUACUCACCUACCUCCAGAAGAGAAGGACACCCCGAACUCCCCCUCACCUAGCUGCACGGGAAGCCAUGACGACCCAACCAGUGGAGGCGACACUCCCAGCCCCACAUUGCUCCUUACUGAUGGCACGAAGGACUGUGCCAAGCCUUAAGUGUGGAGAAGUCAGUACCUGACUUCCAGAGGUAUUUUCUGGCUAAAAUUGAGGGACCUGAUCAAAAGUCUGAUUCAGAGGCUGAGAAAGGACUACAGAUGCUGUUGGAUUCUGACCCUCCUGCACUCGAAGUGGAUUUUCAGGAGCUACAGAAGCCCAAUUAGCGCACUCAAAAUUGCGUUGGAAAGUCGACAUCUUGAGCUUUCCAGAAAUGUAUAAUAGUUCAUACUUUGCCUGAGAUUUGAUGGUCCGAACUGGCAUCCAAACGCCCACCAAAGACCCUUUUCUGGCGUUAAACGGCGGAACUGGCACCAGAGCUGGAGUUAAACGCCCAAACUGGCAUCCAAGCUGGCGUUUAACUCCAGAAAAAGCCUAUGCAUGUGUAAAGCUCAAUGCUCAGCCCAAGCACACACCAAGUGGGCUCCGGAAGUGAAUUUCUGCACUAGUUGCAUUUAGUUACUCAUUUUCUGUAAUUCCUAAUAACUAGUUUAGUAUAAAUAGCACUUUUUACUAUUGUUUUAGGGGAUUUUGGAGAAAUUUUCGAUCUUUUGAUCAAUUUUAUGCUUGGCUGGCCUCACGGCCAUACCUAGGCUAUUUUCUCUUAUGUAUUUUCCAACGGUGGAGUUUC
Arachis duranensis is the source of this 2767-nucleotide long non-coding RNA. RefSeq lists it as uncharacterized. The transcript is spliced from 6 exons. NCBI's taxonomy places the organism in Eukaryota, Viridiplantae, Streptophyta, Magnoliopsida, Fabales, Fabaceae. The record is from RefSeq and is a predicted model, not a curated record.